UAGGGAAUCUUCGGCAAUGGACGAAAGUCUGACCGAGCAACGCCGCGUGAGUGAAGAAGGUUUUCGGAUCGUAAAACUCUGUUGUUAGAGAAGAACAAGGACGUUAGUAACUGAACGUCCCCUGACGGUAUCUAACCAGAAAGCCACGGCUAACUACGUGCCAGCAGCCGCGGUAAUACGUAGGUGGCAAGCGUUGUCCGGACUUAUUGGGCGUAAAGCGAGCGCAGGCGGGUUCUUAAGUCUGAUGUGAAAGCCCCCGGCUCAACCGGGGAGGGUCAUUGGAAACUGGGAGACUUGAGUGCAGAAGAGGAGAGUGGAAUUCCAUGUGUAGCGGUGAAAUGCGUAGAUAUAUGGAGGAACACCAGUGGCGAAGGCGGCUCUCUGGUCUGUAACUGACGCUGAGGCUCGAAAGCGUGGGGAGCAAACAGG
This 429-nucleotide ribosomal RNA is filed under the name Gemmatimonadota bacterium. Its description in RNAcentral is "Gemmatimonadetes bacterium partial 16S ribosomal RNA". It matches the Rfam family "Bacterial small subunit ribosomal RNA", at positions 355 to 776 of the family's 1533-position model. Lineage: Bacteria; Pseudomonadati; Gemmatimonadota. The record is from RNAcentral.